Molecule: ribosomal RNA, 253 nt
Filed under: uncultured bacterium
Lineage: Bacteria
Description: partial 16S ribosomal RNA
Rfam family: Bacterial small subunit ribosomal RNA
Source: RNAcentral
UACGUAGGGUGCAAGCGUUGUCCGGAAUUAUUGGGCGUAAAGAGCUCGUAGGCGGUUUGUCGCGUCUGCUGUGAAAACUCGGGGCUUAACCCCGGGCCUGCAGUGGGUACGGGCAGACUAGAGUGCGGUAGGGGAGACUGGAAUUCCUGGUGUAGCGGUGAAAUGCGCAGAUAUCAGGAAGAACACCAAUUGCGAAGGCAGCUCGCUGGGACGUUACUGACGCUGAGACGCGAAAGCGUGGGGAGCAAACAGG